GAAGGAUCAUUACUGUGAUUUACUACUACACUGCGUGAGCGGAACGAAAACAACAACACCUAAAAUGUGGAAUAUAGCAUAUAGUCGACAAGAGAAAUCUACGAAAAACAAACAAAACUUUCAACAACGGAUCUCUUGGUUCUCGCAUCGAUGAAGAGCGCAGCGAAAUGCGAUACCUAGUGUGAAUUGCAGCCAUCGUGAAUCAUCGAGUUCUUGAACGCACAUUGCGCCCCUCGGCAUUCCGGGGGGCAUGCCUGUUUGAGCGUCGUUUCCAUCUUGCGCGUGCGCAGAGUUGGGGGAGCGGAGCGGACGACGUGUAAAGAGCGUCGGAGCUGCGACUCGCCUGAAAGGGAGCGAAGCUGGCCGAGCGAACUAGACUUUUUUCAGGGACGCUUGGCGGCCGAGAGCGAGUGUUGCGAGACAACAAAAAGCUCGACCUCAAAUCAGGUAGGAAUACCCGCUGAACUUAA
This 470-nucleotide ribosomal RNA is filed under the name Pichia kudriavzevii. RNAcentral describes it as "eukaryotic LSU rRNA". The stretch from base 116 to 268 matches the Rfam family "5.8S ribosomal RNA". The record is from RNAcentral. Lineage: Eukaryota; Fungi; Ascomycota; Pichiomycetes; Pichiales; Pichiaceae.